Molecule: long non-coding RNA, 256 nt
Organism: Oreochromis aureus
Lineage: Eukaryota; Metazoa; Chordata; Actinopteri; Cichliformes; Cichlidae
Exons: 3
Source: RefSeq, a predicted model, not a curated record
AUUUUAAUGCGGAUGAAUAAUUAGCCGGCAUGGAGGAAACGGACCUUUAUUUGGUGGAGUGGCGACAAGGAGCCAAAAGGCGGGUGGCCGGUCUAUGAAGCCUCCAUCAUCAAGCUAGCAGAAAUCCCACCUCUCCUUCUGGCUACAGAGCACUUACUUACCAAGCCCAUGAAAUCGCAUGCAGAUCUUCCUGAUGUGAAAUUUACACAAAUCUAAGUAAUUUUGUUUGUCAUUAUCAUUAAUGUUGUUGCUGUUG